Solea senegalensis (Senegalese sole) is the source of this 4942-nucleotide long non-coding RNA. RefSeq lists it as uncharacterized. Lineage: Eukaryota; Metazoa; Chordata; Actinopteri; Pleuronectiformes; Soleidae. The transcript has 8 exons. The record is from RefSeq and is a predicted model, not a curated record.
CCCACAGACCUGGUUAAGUUAUGGGGGUCUGUAUAUACCCCCACUGUGACACACCUACCCCUCGACCCCCGUGGCCAAAUCCAACCUUCGGCCCCUGCGCUCCUUUUUAGGAUAGACACGGCGGACAACAAAUACUCCCUCUGCUCCGACACACAAAGGUCGUGUAAGUGUUCGGAACAUCUACAGAUGACAUCACUUAACUCAGAGGGAUGACUCACACACAGCAGGAGCAACUGGACAUGAGUGAGUGAGCUGAGGAGAGACAAAGUGUUGUAUAUCCACAACCUCAUCCUUCCUGCAUGGACAACUGACGUAACCGUUUCCAUGAAAGUGGGUCAUUUGUGGAGCUCUUCACCUCUCACUGGUUUCACAUGACUCAAGCUCAUCUCAACCCAGAGCAUCACGUGGAUUCAAUAUCUCAGCGAGGUCGAACACCAGCCGUCACAAAGCGCUGAAAGUCCAGCGUCGGUGUCACUUGCUGCAGCUUCAUCCUUUCACGACCCAGACGCCCAGUAAGAGCGGAAGCACGGAAAUGAUGAGGCCGUUAACAGCAAGAAGGCUUUAAUCAAAAGCACAGGCUUCUUUUUUUAUUGACCGUUGCACGCACAGGAACAGGCGGUGCUGGGGGUCGGAGAAGGGCGGCUCCGAGUCAUCCAUGGGCAGCACCAGGCGCGUGCCCCGCAUCACCAGCUCGUGAUCCCCGUACGUGAGCUCCCUGUCCAAGUCGUCGGCGCCGAUGCCGGAAAAGGCUGCACCGCCGCUGCUGUGUGCACCUGAGCCAUCCGUGCUGACGGUGAUGUCGCCAUAGGUCAGGUUCAUGUCCCUGUCCGUCAGGAUGAGGGACGUGCAGUGUGUGACCAGGGUGGAGGGGAGACGUACCGUAUGCGCUGGCAGGACAACAUCUGGGUGGUGCCACCUCCACAAACCCAAACAGUGAAGAAAACCACGAGCAGCGUGGUGGAAAACAUCAUCUGACGGGCGUACGUCGCGGUGUCCCUGAUGGACAGGGCAAACGUCAUGGCACCCCGGAGUCCUACAGAAACACAGCAAAGUGUUGCAAGCAAAUGAGCAUGAAAGUUUUGACAUACGACCGACCGGAGGCAUGUGGUCGCGUGACAGGAAACAGAGGUUUCACUGUGAACCUGCAAACAUCAUCAUGUGUUGAAAGUUGGAUCUGAUUUUGUUGCGUCGUCCCAGAUUAAGAAGGAAUGACAGAGGGUAGAUGUUAGCGGCUCUUCCCAAGAACACAGCCAGCUGCGGGACAGAGGUUAAGGAGGCAAAACAAAGCUAAAACACAACACAAGAGAGGACAAGUUGCUUAUUUUUUUAUUGGUUAUUAAUGGUAAUUUAGUGCUGUAAUUCCUGAAAACCACUGGUGUAGAUUUGCCUCGACUGGUAAAUAAGAGAAAGUACCAUGCCCAAGUUUCACACGCAAAAGAUACGAAAGCUCCGACGACGAACAUCGGAUUAAAGAUGUGGUUCUGGAAGGUGAACAGGGUCAGGCCCAUGUAGGAGAAGAUGAAGUUUUCCGCCAAGAAAUUCAGCAGUUCAAACAGCUGCAACAUACAAGACACACCUUUGUUGAGUGACAGUUAAUGUAUGUCCAGCUCAAACAAGCUCAACAUACGGUACACACGCUUUUUCCACGUUAUACAUGACAUUACAUGAGCUUCACUAGACAAUUUAAUGGAACAUUUUUGAAAGUAGACAACAAUAAUUACUGAUGUGCUCUACGACUACCAUAUGAUUUUAUCACCCAGAAACUCCCUUUUUUGCUUCAACUGUUGACACGAUGACAACUUUUUGCUACUUUCAAAUUUAAAGACAAAAACAAACACUUGAAGUAUGUUGUGAAAGUGUGCAAACGGUGCAGCGACAUUGCGACAUUGCUCCAGGUCUAACCUGUUUAGUUCGGUCCUGGGACUCGGGAGACAGGUUGUUGUACGUGUAAUGGGCCUGAGUGAUUCCACAGAACAGCACUGCUACCACACCUGCACCACAUCAGGAAAGACACAGAGGGAGGACAGUUGGAAGCAUCGACACACAACAAUAUGAUGCAUUGACAACUCAAGAACAGUCCUCAGUGCUCUUAAUAAUUGGGGCCAUUUUAUGCAAAUUACUAAUUAAAAUGGUGUGUGUGUGUGUGUGUGUGUGUGUGUGUGUGUGUGUGUGUGUGUGUAUUACCAGUGAAACCACAAGCCUCAGCCAACAGGAAUGUGCUCCAUGACAUGAGGAAGAAAAGCGCCGUCUCCAACAGCUGGAAAUCCCUCAACUUGGUGAACUUGGUCACGUACGGACAACAGUCAAGGUGUUUAACGAAAACGCUCUUGCUGUAACCAGCAUGGAAGAUGAUGGGCGGGAGAAGAAUGUUGAAGAACACUUCAGGGUCAAAGGUAACCUGAGUAACACACGGACACAUAAAAACAUGACAAUAACAAUAAUAAUAAUAAUAAUAACAACAAAGUACAAAGUUUGGCCCACAUUAGAUUUGUUGUCCAUAGACAUACAAACUCACAAUACACACAAAGCACUAACCAAUACAACUUCAAUACACUACAAGAUCGCACAAACUACUUUGUGACAAAAUGCAACUGUACCUUUCGCAGCAUCUCAUUGUCGGCCACAUCCUUCGAUUCAGUGGGGUUGAUCUCCCCCUUCAGUGUGUACUCAUAAAAUUUGCCACUGAAAUUGACCAGCAGGGUGGCAGGGCUCACAUUAACCUGGCAACUCAGCGUGACGUUGCUAACGUUCCGAGGAACAUGGAUGCCAUAGCGCAAGAUCACGCCAACGAUUAAGCCUGAGACAAGCGUUAACAAAGAGAAGAGAGAAUCAAUUCAUGUCAGAUUUUUCUGGUGCAAAACAGGAAAAACAAUCAACAGAGAAAUGUAGACUAGAUGAUGGGGUGGUUACUCUCCUGCAGCUGCCUAAAUCUGCAUUUUUAUUUUGGAAGAACAGAUUCAGAAACUAAAUGUCAAAUGCUUGUGAAGUGAAGAGGGAAGUGAGAACUACAGAAACCAUCGCUCCAUGUUUAUCCAUGUUUAUACCAGAAUAAGUGAGAGAGAGAGAAUUAAUUUGAAAUUGUGGAUGACAUGUAGAGGAUUUCAUUUUCCCCAAGUGAAGAAAAGGUAAUAGACUCUCCAGGGUAAAUAAAGGUUAGGAAUAAAUAAAUUAAGUUACACAGAGCACUCAAGUCAGCAUGUGUAUUCUAUCACAUAAUCACCACAACAUUAGAGCUGAACAUUAACUGUUUUCAAAUUGAAAUUGCUGUUUGAAAACAAUACAAUUACAAAAUCCAUGAGGCUGCGAUUUUAUUGUGUCUAUAUGUCAAUUGUCAAAAUGUUAAAAACAAUCCAUAUGUUUUAGUUCUCAUCCCAGUAUAGUAGUUCAUAUUUUGAUGGUGUCUGGUGUGGCACUGUUCCAUUUCGUUUUAAAUCUAUAACAAAGUGAAGGUUGAAAUAAAGCUCAACUAUGAAAAAGUUAUACAGCGAAUCAAAUAAUUGUUCAUAAUCGGAAUCAUUCAGCCCCAAUAAAUAUAAAACCGUGAACAGAAAUUGAAGGAAUGUGCUUGGUUUGUUUCAACCAGUGAGUCGUGAGUGGGGUUUUUCCUGACAGGUGCAGGGAAAGUUUCUGUUAGUUACUUAGUGAAGGAGGAACCAGCCAUUCAUGCUUGGCAUUACCAGGCCACAGAGUGGAGAAGUGACAUUUUGUGUUGCUGUUGUUUUUGUAUGGUAUAGUGGUUCCCUUUCAUGGCCCAGGAGGCUCAGCUCUUUAAGGUUUCAUUUACAAAACCAAGCAUUGUGAAAGAGGGCGUCUGUGUAACUAAGCUUCUUAGCCCGCAGUCUCAAAUGCGCCACUGGGUCGUUAAAAAUGAAGUCAUUUCCAACCCUAAGUACAACACGAGAGUUUCGCUCUCUCACCAUAAAUCAUUGCCAGCCCAGUUUCGUGCAGGAACCUGAAGCGCCGGUGUUUGAAGAGCCAAAUGGUGAGGAUGGUGAGGGUGAGCAGCAUGAUGAAGAUGAGCAAGUCUGCGCUGUCCUGCCUGUGGCUCUCCUCAGCCUUCUUCUCUGUCACGAUGGUGUUCUCCAUGGAAUUGCUCUCCUCCGGAGAUAAUGAUGAUGCUCGGCACACACAGAUGCCCACAGACAGGAUCACCAGCAGCAGCAGCCACAGCGUCCUCGUCGCCCUCCACGCGCCGUUGACAGUCACUCUGAACACCAUUGCGGCUCGUCCACGGCCAAACGCUGCAAAGUCGUCGUGGAUAAAAAGCAAACUUUAGGGCGAAAUUGUAUUUAGGGGACUGGUAAUGGGGGGAGACGACAGCAGAAAGACGACAGCAACAGCGCUAUUGACUCUGACCUGGAAAUGAAAACUAACAUUUCCAGAAAUUCUACAGUGUUUAUUUCAAACUAAAAGCACCGCGUCACGAUGCAGUUGCUUUUAAACCACCCAUAACAUAUUAUGCAUAUUUUUUCACUUUAUAUUACUUUUAUUGGAUGAAGAUAUACAUUGUGUCGUUUACUGGAGAUGUAUUUCCGCAGAUGAUUAAACUAGUUCCCGCAAAAUAAUCUUAUUUUGAAAUAUUCAAUUUCCUUCGUGUUGGACAGGAAGUGAACAUGUAUAUUUACAGACGUUAUCCUUUCUAUUUAAUUUUUACCGCUUAUGUGAAGUCACAUUUAAAUUUGUAUAACCUGAUGUUCUUAGAAAAUGAAGACGUUUAUUCUCAACACUGCAUGUACUACAGCAAUAUUACCAUCAUAAAAACAGCUAACUAACAAUGUGUCAUUACACCAUUGUACUGGAAAUACAAGACUUGAGCUUUUCUAGUCUCUCCAGCUUUACAGAAAUUGAGUAAUAAACAGGCAGAUUUAUGAAAGAAAAAUGCAAAUGGUCAUAAAAGCAUGAAAUUUAGCAAUUUUUGAUAAACAAUUAAAUGUUGAUAAAA